Long non-coding RNA from Oreochromis niloticus (Nile tilapia), 774 nucleotides. RefSeq lists it as uncharacterized. NCBI's taxonomy places the organism in Eukaryota, Metazoa, Chordata, Actinopteri, Cichliformes, Cichlidae. The transcript has 2 exons. The record is from RefSeq and is a predicted model, not a curated record.
AGUGGGCCAAAAACAAAGAAGAGAGACGGACUCGCGACAGAAAAGCCGAUCAGCUGAUCAUUAAGGAGUUUCAUGAAGUAGCGGCAGGAGAGGGAGAGAGAAGAGGCAGUCGCUCCAUAUAUCGGUGGUUAAGCUUAACGCAGGUAGGCUUUACAAACAUUCAGAGAUGAACUUACACACUUGCUUUACUUCUCUCUGGGAUAACUUCCUCGGAGAUGAAUUGCUGGAUUGCUAGUGAGCAGCGCCGUAGCUCCGCAAACGCACAUAACGCACACUGCGUAGGGCACCAAAUGGCCGGUAGGGCACCAAAAAAAUCAGGGUCGUAAAAAAAAAAAGAAGUAAACCAUAUUAAUACUAUAAAUAUCAUAUGCAUUAAUAUGGUUAAACAAUACAAAAGCAACAUAAAACAAUUUUCCCGAGAAAAGGGGUGAAUCUGCUUUGUGCCCUGUCUCCAGUCUCCUCCUGGUGCCCCCCCCCCCUCCCAGUGGUCUGUUCUAUAAUGCCUCAAUUCGGUAUUGGUAAACACCUGUUUGAACAUGGCCUCGAAACGGCAACAGGAGUCGGGAGCGGAGAAAAGAAAGAAGAAGAGGAAGCGUGAUGAAACUCAGGCGUCGCUUGCCGGGUCAAUGCUUAAAUAUGUUCAAGGAGGAUCUCAAGGACAGGAUGAACCAUCCAGUAGUAGUGCCAUCCCUGGACAUCAACCACCAGCCAUUGUAGACCCUGCAACAAUCCCUAGCCAAGAAGAACAAGAACCAUCAACCACCAGUUCAGGUA